CUCUCUCUCACACACACACACACACACACACACAUUCAGAUGCUGAUUCUCACUUUCGGGAAAUGUAGAUUAGCCAGUCCACCUACAUGCAUGUUUUUGGGAGGAAAUUGGAGAACCUGGAGGGAACGCACACAGAGAGUAACCCAAGCUCAGGAUCGAACCAUUGAAUGUAUCUAGUCAGAGACUAAACCCUCCUUCAGGUUAUAUCUGGUGCAUUUGUGGUCCAGAUAUUUGUUCACCCCUGUAGGAUGGAUUUGCUGAGUUCACCGGAUUGAAAGUGGGUCGUGAGUACUGCAAUCCGUCACUUUAGCCCAGUGUGGCAACAUUCCUACAAGUUGAGAGCGGAGGUCACGUGGUCUCUCCCAUACAUAGCGCUCUAACAUAGAUAAAGGGCCUGCUGACCUUCCGAGGCAGUCUCACUCAAUCUAGUUUGAAGGCUGGAGAAUUUCCAGGCUUGCAAACCCCUUCAAGACCUCUGGAUGCCGGCAGACAACGAGAG
Ictalurus punctatus (channel catfish) is the source of this 499-nucleotide long non-coding RNA. Lineage: Eukaryota; Metazoa; Chordata; Actinopteri; Siluriformes; Ictaluridae. The record is from Ensembl.